UAAGAAAAAUACUAAAAAGGGAUGAUAACGUAACAUAUAAUGUUCACACAAAGUUUAAACGCCCUAAAUAUUAAACACAACAACGAUGAUAAUUAUUUCUUCAAAUUCUAUUUUGUUGCCACUCUAUAAAUAUUUGAGUUGCAAGAUUAGCUCUGAAUGUAUUCCAAGAUGCAGAUGACUCAAUGUGCUCGAUAUAUGCACCAUGCUCAUGUGGAAAACUAUCAUGAGAUUGCUUCUCUUUAUUGUAUAUAGCCUCAA
Molecule: long non-coding RNA, 258 nt
Filed under: Elaeis guineensis (African oil palm)
Lineage: Eukaryota; Viridiplantae; Streptophyta; Magnoliopsida; Arecales; Arecaceae
Description: long non-coding RNA (EGUI_LNC025733)
Source: RNAcentral